AUUGAACGCUGGCGGCAGGCCUAACACAUGCAAGUCGAGCGGAUGAGAGGAGCUUGCUCUUCGAUUCAGCGGCGGACGGGUGAGUAAUGCCUAGGAAUCUGCCUAGUAGUGGGGGACAACGUUUCGAAAGGAACGCUAAUACCGCAUACGUCCUACGGGAGAAAGUGGGGGAUCUUCGGACCUCACGCUAUUAGAUGAGCCUAGGUCGGAUUAGCUAGUUGGUAGGGUAAAGGCCUACCAAGGCGACGAUCCGUAACUGGUCUGAGAGGAUGAUCAGUCACACUGGAACUGAGACACGGUCCAGACUCCUACGGGAGGCAGCAGUGGGGAAUAUUGGACAAUGGGCGAAAGCCUGAUCCAGCCAUGCCGCGUGUGUGAAGAAGGCCUUCGGGUCGUAAAGCACUUUAAGUUGGGAGGAAGGGCUCAUAGCGAAUACCUGUGAGUUUUGACGUUACCAACAGAAUAAGCACCGGCUAACUUCGUGCCAGCCGCCUCCGUAA
RNAcentral lists this ribosomal RNA (500 nucleotides) under uncultured bacterium. RNAcentral's name for it is "partial 16S ribosomal RNA". It matches the Rfam family "Bacterial small subunit ribosomal RNA", at positions 30 to 523 of the family's 1533-position model. The record is from RNAcentral.